AAAUUAAAGAACCUUAGUGAGCACGCUCACAUACCCCACGUCCCCACAUUGUCAUUGGAGAAAUUAAAUAAGUAUAAGAAAAGAUAUUGAAUAAUAAUUUCCUGUCAAUAUAUAUAGUAUGUCCUUAUUAUCUACAAAAUUUCAUGAAAUUAUGUUGUGUGUUUUCAGAGGAGUUGAGAUGACAAACUGUUGCAGAAGUACAUUGAAGCAAAUAAGUUCAAAGGGGCAUAACUCCUAGAAAAAAAAUUGAACCGUAAUUUCCUGUUGAUAUGCACAUCUACAUAGUAUGUCCUUAUUAUCUACAAAGUUUCAUGAAAUUCUGUUAUGUGGUUUGAGAGGAGUUGCGAUGACAAACUGUUGCAGUAGUACAUUAAAGUAAAUAAGUUCAAAGGGGCGUAACUCCUAGAAAAAAAAUUGAAUCGCAAUUUCCCGUCGAUAUGCACAACUACAUAGUAUGUCCUUAUUAUCUGAAAAGGUUUCGUGAAAUUCUGUGUGUGGUUUGAGAGGAGUUGCGAUGACAAACUGUUGCAGUAGUACAUUAAAGUAAAUAAGUUCAAAGGGGCGUAACUCCUAGAAAAAAAAUUGAAUCGCAAUUUCCCGUCGAUAUGCACAACUACAUAGUAUUUCCUUAUUAUCUGAAAAGGUUUCGUGAAAUUCUGUUGUGUGGUUUGGGAGGAGUUGCGAUGACAAACUGUUGCAGUAGUACAGUAAAGUAAAUAAGUUCAAAGGGGCGCAACUUCUAGAAAAAAAAUUGAAUCGCAAUUUCCCGUCGAUAUGCACAACUACAUAGUAUGUCCUUAUUAUCUGAAAAGGUUUCGUGAAAUUCUGUUGUGUGGUUUGAGAGGAGUUGCGAUGACAAACUGUUGCAGUAGUAC
This 875-nucleotide long non-coding RNA is filed under the name Mytilus galloprovincialis (Mediterranean mussel). The record is from RNAcentral. Lineage: Eukaryota; Metazoa; Mollusca; Bivalvia; Mytilida; Mytilidae.